GGGGAUGUAUUGAUUCGACAGGAUUAUGUCUGGGUAGAAUGCAAGUAGUAGGCAUACUAUAAAUGCAAAAACUAAAAUAAUCGGAAACGAUUUUAAUUUCUCUCCAGCUUUUGCUUAAUUAAGUAAAACGGAGCUUCCACUUUUAACUUUUGUUCACGAGUUUUAAGAGGGGAGUCAUAAAGUGAACUAUAUUAUAAAUUUGUUUGUGAUUUAUAACGAAUGAUUAGCAAACUUAGAAUAAUAAGAGAAGUUGGCAAUCUACAUUAUUAUUUGAAGUUAAAAACCAACUAAACUUGUAGAAAUUCUAUUGGGAUGAAUCUUGGACAGGAGUUCGCUACUCCUCAUCUCCACCA
This 353-nucleotide transfer-messenger RNA is filed under the name Bacilli. RNAcentral's name for it is "CAG-1000 sp900768345 Standard tmRNA". It matches the Rfam family "transfer-messenger RNA". From Rfam's summary of the family: Bacterial tmRNA, also known as 10Sa RNA or SsrA, is named for its dual tRNA and mRNA-like properties. Its role is to liberate the mRNA from a stalled ribosome. RNAcentral also lists the same sequence under 1 other name. The record is from RNAcentral. Lineage: Bacteria; Bacillati; Bacillota.